CUGACAGAAGAGAGUGAGCACACAAACGCAGGCAAUUGUAUAAAAGCAUAUACCUUGGUGCGGUGCGUGCUCACUUCUCUCUCUGUCAG
Prunus persica (peach) is the source of this 89-nucleotide microRNA precursor. It matches the Rfam family "mir-156 microRNA precursor family". From Rfam's summary of the family: This family represents the plant microRNA (miRNA) precursor mir-156. Animal miRNAs are transcribed as ~70nt precursors and subsequently processed by the Dicer enzyme to give a ~22nt product. In plants the precursor sequences may be longer, and the carpel factory (caf) enzyme appears to be involved in processing. The record is from Rfam. Lineage: Eukaryota; Viridiplantae; Streptophyta; Magnoliopsida; Rosales; Rosaceae.